RNAcentral lists this unclassified non-coding RNA (211 nucleotides) under Hevea brasiliensis (rubber tree). The record is from RNAcentral. Lineage: Eukaryota; Viridiplantae; Streptophyta; Magnoliopsida; Malpighiales; Euphorbiaceae.
GGCUGAGAACCCAGAUGGUCCUUUCCAUCCAAAAAUCCACAUAUUUCAGAGUUCUACAAAUCGGUAAAUCUCUGUGGCUUCAGUGAUGUGAAAUUGGGUCAGUCUGGGAUGGUUUUUCCGAUGAUUUGGGAUUUGCUGGCUUGAUUGAAAGGGGUUGAAUUGGACAGCAAAUUAAACAGUAAUCAUAAUUAGGCUAUUUAUUCAGCCUAUU